UUGAUAUCAAAUUCAUGUGAACUUUGGAAUAAAUGUUCUUAACUGCCACAAUUGGGGGAAAAAAAGUCAUAAUUGUUCUAAAAUAAAAAUAUAAAUAAAUAAGAUUUUGGGGAGAAAUACUGUAUGACAGCACAACUCAAAUCCCAACCACCCAAUCUGUUAGCUGUUGAGAGUCUGACCUGAAUGUGUGUAUAUGUGCACACACACACACACACUGAAUGAUUUGUUUAUUAUGUUUUAUGGCAGGAAAUAUCAUGAGACCCAGGCAGAGGAAUGUCAUGAAGCUAAAGCAAAUACAAGCAGUAAAGGUGUGUAAGUGACUGACGCACGAGCUCCCAGCAGCCCUUGCACCAUGUUUACCAAUUCAGAGGUGGGACAGAUGACCAAUACUGGCAUUUCCACUGAUAAACAGUGAUUUUCUCCCGCCAAUACCACGCGUGACAGAAGUAAUCAGUCAAAGAGGAAACGAGGUUUCGGUCUGACAUCUGCAGACUCCCACAAACACUUCCCGGGGUCAAAGGUCACACGGAGCAAAGUAAGAGUGAAAAACUGAAGCGUAGCCACAUCAUUGUUCUACCUCUCCUGCUUCAGCAAAGCUGCGUGCUGAGGGACAGGAUCAGGACGCAGGGAUCACUGGGAAUAAAUCUGCUUUCUUUAACCACUUACACAACACUGCAGUCCGAUCUACAACAAACGAUUACAAGAUACUCUAGAUGGAUUCCACACACUUCAGCACUGGUCACUUCAUAGACACCCAUCAGUGAAUAUUUGUGAGGUGAGCAUAAGCACACAGCGCUCAAACACUUCCAAACACCAAAACACACGUCUGCUAGAGACUCCCACAAGACUGAUGAAGCGGAGGAACACAGCAUGAUUUCAAGAUGAGAACUAAUCUCAAAUAUCAAACUGAGACA
Carassius auratus (goldfish) is the source of this 914-nucleotide long non-coding RNA. RefSeq lists it as uncharacterized. The record is from RefSeq and is a predicted model, not a curated record. NCBI's taxonomy places the organism in Eukaryota, Metazoa, Chordata, Actinopteri, Cypriniformes, Cyprinidae. The transcript is spliced from 3 exons.